AGCUCCAAUAGCGUAUAUUAAAGUUGCUGCAGUUAAAAAGCUCGUAGUUGGAUUUCUGAUCUGCAACAUUUAGCCGGCCACGGUUUCGUGUGUUAGUGUUAGAUGUUCUGGUCAUCCUUCCAAUUGCUGCGCUUGAUCUUCAUUGAUUUGUGUUGUAGUAUUGGAUCUUUUACUUUGAAAAAAUUAGAGUGUUUCAAGCAGGCUUAUGCUAUGAAUACAUUAGCAUGGAAUAAUAAUUUAGGACUUCGGUUCUAUUUUGUUGGUUUCUAGGACUGAAGUAAUGAUUGAUAGGGACAGUUGGGGGUGCUAGUAUUCAGCGGCCAGAGGUGAAAUUCUCGGAUUCGCUGAAGACUAACUUAUGCGAAAGCAUUCACCAAGGAUGUCUUCU
RNAcentral lists this ribosomal RNA (388 nucleotides) under uncultured Cercozoa. RNAcentral describes it as "bacterial SSU rRNA". It matches the Rfam family "Eukaryotic small subunit ribosomal RNA", at positions 587 to 972 of the family's 1831-position model. The record is from RNAcentral. Lineage: Eukaryota; Cercozoa.